This 428-nucleotide ribosomal RNA is filed under the name uncultured bacterium. RNAcentral describes it as "bacterial SSU rRNA". It matches the Rfam family "Bacterial small subunit ribosomal RNA", at positions 354 to 796 of the family's 1533-position model. The record is from RNAcentral.
GUCGAGAAUUUUUCACAAUGGGGGAAACCCUGAUGGAGCGACGCCGCGUGGAGGAUGAAGGCCUUCGGGUCGUAAACUCCUGUCAUGCGAGAACAAGAAAGUGAUAGUAUCGCAAGAGGAAGAGACGGCUAACUCUGUGCCAGCAGCCGCGGUAAUACAGAGGUCUCAAGCGUUGUUCGGAUUCAUUGGGCGUAAAGGGUGCGUAGGUGGCGUGGAAAGUUGAGUGUGAAAUCCUAGGGCUUAACCUUAGAACUGCACUCAAUACUCCCAUGCUAGAGGAAUGUAGAGGAGAGUGGAAUUCACGGUGUAGCAGUGAAAUGCGUAGAUAUCGUGAGGAAGACCAGUUGCGAAGGCGACUCUCUGGGCAUUUCCUGACACUGAGGCACGAAGGCCAGGGGAGCAAACGGGAUUAGAAACCCCGGUAGUCC